UCUCAUGUUCAUGCCUCAUAACAUGCAAUAUGAAAUUUUAUGCAACUAUGCAACCAACUAGUAGAUCAAUUGAUACUACAUUCAAUUCUGCUAUACAUAACUCAUGUCAUCUAGUUUCCAAUGUUUCUACUACCUUAAAUUUAUAACUCAAAUCCAACUAACUUUUAAGGUUUCUACCACCUUAACCAAGCUAUCCACUCGACUCGGCUUCGAGUCAAUCAUCCCCGGAAUAUCGCGCACAAUCAGACUCGAGGUGAAAGACGUCUCACAUGCACCUCAGCUUUCAAUCCACAAACCACAUCGU
This 304-nucleotide long non-coding RNA is filed under the name Ananas comosus (pineapple). RNAcentral describes it as "long non-coding RNA (ACOM_LNC033393)". Lineage: Eukaryota; Viridiplantae; Streptophyta; Magnoliopsida; Poales; Bromeliaceae. The record is from RNAcentral.